Monodelphis domestica (gray short-tailed opossum) is the source of this 1826-nucleotide non-coding RNA. Lineage: Eukaryota; Metazoa; Chordata; Mammalia; Didelphimorphia; Didelphidae. The record is from RefSeq and is a predicted model, not a curated record.
UACAUGAGCAAGGCCCCACUUUGUGGCACCACCACAUACAGUGCUCUAAGCAGUUGGACAUGUAAAUAAAUAUGAAGCUUAGAGGAAAGACCAGGCCUGGAGCUAUUGAUUUUUAUGUAUAAAGUAAUAGUCACAAGUGUGAGGGUAGCAAUAUAGUGGGGCAAAGGCAGAACUUUUGGGAAUGUCUACUUUAAGGAAAUGAGACUAGGUGGGAGCAGUCAGUAAUAGAAGGAGUGUGAAAGAGAUGAUGGAACUAGAAGAAGAAAUCAUGGUGAGGAACUGGAAGCAUUACCAAGUGAAGAGACAAGCUGUUUCUUUUCAUCUGCCGAGGCUCACACAAGAAGGAGAGAACCUCCACCCCAGGAUCUGUCUAGAUAAUGAAAGAACACUCAGAACAGCUCAAGCAGCAGCAGCAGCAGCAGCAGCAGCAAUCUGGUGGUUACAAGCAUUGGUGAUUUCAUUGAUGGCUGCAGUAAGGAGAGCAGAGUCUUUAAAGAUACAAAGUGGAUUCUCUACCUUUCUUGUUUAAAAAGCCAGUAACUUUAUUAUUGAUAAGGAAACAGGGACUUCUUACCCAAGUUGUUAAAAUCAAAAAAGGAGUUGGAGGUCCUGAAGAAAAAAAUGGGCAAUAGAGGUUUGAUCUCCCCAGAAAGAAUGGAAAUAAAUUCUAAGAAGGGCCUGUUAAGGAGGAGGGAACAAAAGGGGCUGAUUUUAAAUGCUCUAUCUGGACCCAAAACCACAGCUCCAAAGGUUCUAUGAAACCACUUGCCUGAAAUAUUGUUUUGAUAAAUAAGCCAUAUCCUUGUGGAAUUGAAAUCUCCAACUGUUCUACUGGCACGGACAUCUCUGCAGUGACAGCACAUGCCACAGAUUGUGGAGUUAACUUGAAUUAAAUUUCAGAUGUGAGGGAGCUGGGGGAGGGGCUGGUGACAGUGGGAGGUUUAUGAACAGUAUGCUGUGGCUCUGAUGUUGUCAUAACCAGAUGGCUCCAACUGUAUCAUUUAGAGAAAAACAAACACCACCUAAUAAUAAUAACAAUAACAAGAAUAGGACACCUAUAUAGCAGCUUCACCUGAGAUGCUUGGAUUAUAUUGAUUCCUAUGUAAAGCUCAAACUGGAAUUUUCACAAACCUUGGAUAAUCCCAGAAGAAGAAACACAUCCUUCGGGAGUCCCAGAAUCAUGGCCUUCCAGAAGCUACACAAAUCCCUGUUUACUUGCCCAAAUAUCUAAUCUUUCAGUGAAGGAAUGAGGAAUCAAAUUCUAAAUACAGUUUGUUCACUAAGAACCACCUAAGGAAUAACAACAUAGCAUUGUUCUUGCUUCCCCCAGUGGAAAAAUCUCACCUAAGCUCAAUUUUUCUACCAAGAAUGAAGCUUCCUUAGGCUAAUUAUGGAGCCUUGGGAGAAAUGGACCAGAGUCAGACCACACAGAUUCUGGUCCUACCUCUGCCUCUUUAGUAGAUCGGGCCCUUCCUUAUCUGUAAACCUGGGAUAACAUCCCUACUCUCCCUACCUCUUGGGAAGAUCAAAUGAGAAAACACACAUGAAAGGACUUUGAGAACCUUACAACACAAUACAAAUGAUUAUUCGCUAUGCAAGAGAUAGUGUGGAUAAAUGCCAGCUAUGUAGCUGGCUUGUCCUUUGUAUCAACUUCAAAGGUUGGGGAAACAUGAAGUUACAAGUCAGAGAACUUGCAGCCUAUUCCUUUACAAAGGUACUGUUAACAAAAUGAGGUCAGACUUUAGUUCUGAUGGUGUGUGGUAGGAGAUUGUGGCAGAUUCCAAAUCUUGCCCUCGGUUAUACUGAUUAAAAAGACUAUCUAUUCA